CGAGAAAGCCCGCAAGGGUGAGUAAAGCGGCGCACGGGUGCGUAACACGUGGGUAAUCUGCCCUAGAGUCUGGAAUAACUCGCCGAAAGGCGUGCUAAUGCCGGAUGAGACCACGGGAGCUUCGGCUCCUGCGGGAAAAGGUGGCCUCUGUACACAAGCUAUCGCUCUAGGAUGAGCCCGCGGCCCAUCAGCUCGUUGGCGGGGUAAUGGCCCACCAAGGCUACGACGGGUAGCUGGUCUGAGAGGACGAUCAGCCACACUGGAACUGAGACACGGUCCAGACUCCUACGGGAGGCAGCAGUGGGGAAUCUUGCGCAAUGGGCGAAAGCCUGACGCAGCAACGCCGCGUGUGUGAUGAAGGUCUUCGGAUCGUAAAGCACUGUCGCGAGGGACG
Molecule: ribosomal RNA, 394 nt
Filed under: uncultured Anaeromyxobacter sp.
Lineage: Bacteria; Pseudomonadati; Myxococcota; Myxococcia; Myxococcales; Anaeromyxobacteraceae
Description: bacterial SSU rRNA
Rfam family: Bacterial small subunit ribosomal RNA
Source: RNAcentral